RNAcentral lists this ribosomal RNA (1387 nucleotides) under Pedobacter duraquae. RNAcentral describes it as "bacterial SSU rRNA". It matches the Rfam family "Bacterial small subunit ribosomal RNA". The record is from RNAcentral. Lineage: Bacteria; Pseudomonadati; Bacteroidota; Sphingobacteriia; Sphingobacteriales; Sphingobacteriaceae.
GCAAGUCGAACGAUACUUUCCAGCUUGCUGGAAAGGAAAGUGGCGCACGGGUGCGUAACGCGUAUGCAACCUACCUUAAUCAGGGGGAUAGCCCGAAGAAAUUCGGAUUAACACCGCAUAAAAACACAGGACAGCAUUGUGCAAUGUUCAAAUAUUUAUAGGAUUAAGAUGGGCAUGCGUGUCAUUAGCUAGUUGGCGGGGUAACGGCCCACCAAGGCGACGAUGACUAGGGGAUCUGAGAGGAUGACCCCCCACACUGGUACUGAGACACGGACCAGACUCCUACGGGAGGCAGCAGUAAGGAAUAUUGGUCAAUGGAGGCAACUCUGAACCAGCCAUGCCGCGUGCAGGAAGACAGCCCUCUGGGUCGUAAACUGCUUUUAUUCGGGAAUAAACCUUUCUACGUGUAGGAAGCUGAAUGUACCGAAGGAAUAAGGAUCGGCUAACUCCGUGCCAGCAGCCGCGGUAAUACGGAGGAUCCAAGCGUUAUCCGGAUUUAUUGGGUUUAAAGGGUGCGUAGGCGGCUUAUUAAGUCAGGGGUGAAAGACGGUGGCUCAACCAUCGCAGUGCCUUUGAUACUGAUGAGCUUGAAUGAACUAGAGGUAGGCGGAAUGUGACAAGUAGCGGUGAAAUGCAUAGAUAUGUCACAGAACACCGAUUGCGAAGGCAGCUUACUAUGGUUUUAUUGACGCUGAGGCACGAAAGCGUGGGGAUCAAACAGGAUUAGAUACCCUGGUAGUCCACGCCCUAAACGAUGAAUACUCGCUGUUAGCGAUAUACAGUUAGCGGCUAAGCGAAAGCGUUAAGUAUUCCACCUGGGGAGUACGCCCGCAAGGGUGAAACUCAAAGGAAUUGACGGGGGCCCGCACAAGCGGAGGAGCAUGUGGUUUAAUUCGAUGAUACGCGAGGAACCUUACCCGGGCUUGAAAGUUAGUGAAUUAUCCAGAGAUGGAUAAGUGAGCAAUCACACGAAACUAGGUGCUGCAUGGCUGUCGUCAGCUCGUGCCGUGAGGUGUUGGGUUAAGUCCCGCAACGAGCGCAACCCCUAUGUUUAGUUGCCAGCAUGUAAAGGUGGGGACUCUAAACAGACUGCCUGUGCAAACAGAGAGGAAGGAGGGGACGACGUCAAGUCAUCAUGGCCCUUACGUCCGGGGCUACACACGUGCUACAAUGGAUGGUACAGAGGGCAGCAAGCUGGCAACAGCAAGCAAAUCUCAAAAAGCCAUUCACAGUUCGGAUAGAGGUCUGCAACUCGACCUCUUGAAGUUGGAUUCGCUAGUAAUCGCGUAUCAGCAAUGACGCGGUGAAUACGUUCCCGGGCCUUGUACACACCGCCCGUCAAGCCAUGGAAGUUGGGGGUACCUAAAGUAUGUAACCGCAAGGAGCG